RNAcentral lists this ribosomal RNA (427 nucleotides) under uncultured bacterium. RNAcentral's name for it is "partial 16S ribosomal RNA". It matches the Rfam family "Bacterial small subunit ribosomal RNA", at positions 355 to 774 of the family's 1533-position model. The record is from RNAcentral.
UGGGGAAUAUUGGACAAUGGGCGAAAGCCUGAUCCAGCCACGCCGCGUGUGUGAAGAAGGUCUUCGGAUUGUAAAGCACUUUAAGUUGGGAGGAAGGGCAGUAAGUUAAUACCUUGCUGUUUUGACGUUACCAACAGAAUAAGCACCGGCUAACUUCGUGCCAGCAGCCGCGGUAAUACGAAGGGUGCAAGCGUUAAUCGGAAUUACUGGGCGUAAAGCGCGCGUAGGUGGUUUGGUAAGAUGGAUGUGAAAUCCCCGGGCUCAACCUGGGAACUGCAUCCAUAACUGCCUGACUAGAGUACGGUAGAGGGUGGUGGAAUUUCCUGUGUAGCGGUGAAAUGCGUAGAUAUAGGAAGGAACACCAGUGGCGAAGGCGACCACCUGGACUGAUACUGACACUGAGGUGCGAAAGCGUGGGGAGCAAACA